AUCUGUGAUGUGUUGAGAUUUUACUUUUAUUUAGAAAAUGUUCUUCAGAAUUAUGAACACUUUGUUUAUGUUCAUGAUGUAAAGAAGACUCUUCCAUGCUUCCCCUUGAAUGUUGGCUUCUCAUUUUAUGAGGUCAGAUAUUGUUGCUGUUUUGGGCACUUUUCUGAGGUUUUGUUUAGUGCAUAGGAUAAAUUUGUCUCUGGUUUUUUGGCUGAUUAUAAAAGAAAAUCUGAAUCAGUUCAUACUGCACAGCCUUUUAGCAGAACGUAAGCCAGAGUUUUACCCGCCCGAUGGCCAGCUUCGUCGUCGGGUUUGGGAGGCUGGCUGUAAACUGAGAGGAAGCUGACCUAUCCAGCCUCGAGUAUGCAGGUCAAGUGGCCUGCUGAUGGUGCGCCUUUGAAUGGAACCCCAGUUGCAUCAGCUGGCUUAAGGUUGGUUUAUAGUACAUAAUUUGAUCCUGGUUUGUUUGUUUGUUGAUAUUUUAGCAUUUUCUCUGCAAAAUAUUGACAAAAGAUUUGAUAUGGAUGAAGUUUUGUCUUGUUUUUGUUA
Molecule: long non-coding RNA, 549 nt
Organism: Cucurbita moschata (crookneck pumpkin)
Lineage: Eukaryota; Viridiplantae; Streptophyta; Magnoliopsida; Cucurbitales; Cucurbitaceae
Exons: 2
Source: RefSeq, a predicted model, not a curated record